RNAcentral lists this ribosomal RNA (970 nucleotides) under Ralstonia pickettii. RNAcentral's name for it is "bacterial SSU rRNA". It matches the Rfam family "Bacterial small subunit ribosomal RNA", at positions 77 to 1041 of the family's 1533-position model. Lineage: Bacteria; Pseudomonadati; Pseudomonadota; Betaproteobacteria; Burkholderiales; Burkholderiaceae. The record is from RNAcentral.
AGCUUGCUAGAUUGAUGGCGAGUGGCGAACGGGUGAGUAAUACAUCGGAACGUGCCCUGUAGUGGGGGAUAACUAGUCGAAAGAUUAGCUAAUACCGCAUACGACUGAGGGUGAAAGUGGGGGACCGCAAGGCCUCAGCUAUAGGAGCGGCCGAUGUCUGAUAGCUAGUUGGUGGGGUAAAGGCCCACCAAGGCGACGAUCAGUAGCUGGUCUGAGAGGACGAUCAGCCACACUGGGACUGAGACACGGCCCAGACUCCUACGGGAGGCAGCAGUGGGGAAUUUUGGACAAUGGGCGAAAGCCUGAUCCAGCAAUGCCGCGUGUGUGAAGAAGGCCUUCGGGUUGUAAAGCACUUUUGUCCGGAAAGAAAUGGCUCUGGUUAAUACCUGGGGUCGAUGACGGUACCGGAAGAAUAAGGACCGGCUAACUACGUGCCAGCAGCCGCGGUAAUACGUAGGGUCCAAGCGUUAAUCGGAAUUACUGGGCGUAAAGCGUGCGCAGGCGGUUGUGCAAGACCGAUGUGAAAUCCCCGAGCUUAACUUGGGAAUUGCAUUGGUGACUGCACGGCUAGAGUGUGUCAGAGGGGGGUAGAAUUCCACGUGUAGCAGUGAAAUGCGUAGAGAUGUGGAGGAAUACCGAUGGCGAAGGCAGCCCCCUGGGAUAACACUGACGCUCAUGCACGAAAGCGUGGGGAGCAAACAGGAUUAGAUACCCUGGUAGUCCACGCCCUAAACGAUGUCAACUAGUUGUUGGGGAUUCAUUUCCUUAGUAACGUAGCUAACGCGUGAAGUUGACCGCCUGGGGAGUACGGUCGCAAGAUUAAAACUCAAAGGAAUUGACGGGGACCCGCACAAGCGGUGGAUGAUGUGGAUUAAUUCGAUGCAACGCGAAAAACCUUACCUACCCUUGACAUGCCACUAACGAAGCAGAGAUGCAUUAGGUGCUCGAAAGAGAAAGUGGACACAGGUGC